AAAGCAGAAUUUGCCAAUAGCAUUCUCUUCCUUGUUACUUACUCUUCAAAGAUAUCUCAAUCUGGUUGUUGAGAG
Unclassified non-coding RNA from Ictidomys tridecemlineatus (thirteen-lined ground squirrel), 75 nucleotides. The record is from Ensembl. Lineage: Eukaryota; Metazoa; Chordata; Mammalia; Rodentia; Sciuridae.